RNAcentral lists this ribosomal RNA (1346 nucleotides) under uncultured bacterium. Its description in RNAcentral is "partial 16S ribosomal RNA". It matches the Rfam family "Bacterial small subunit ribosomal RNA", at positions 28 to 1381 of the family's 1533-position model. The record is from RNAcentral.
GACGAACGCUGGCGGCGUGCUUAACACAUGCAAGUCGAACGGAAAGGCCCUGCUUUUGUGGGGUGCUCGAGUGGCGAACGGGUGAGUAACACGUGAGUAACCUGCCCUUGACUUUGGGAUAACUUCAGGAAACUGGGGCUAAUACCGGAUAGGAGCUCCUGCUGCAUGGUGGGGGUUGGAAAGUUUCGGCGGUUGGGGAUGGACUCGCGGCUUAUCAGCUUGUUGGUGGGGUAGUGGCUUACCAAGGCUUUGACGGGUAGCCGGCCUGAGAGGGUGACCGGCCACAUUGGGACUGAGAUACGGCCCAGACUCCUACGGGAGGCAGCAGUGGGGAAUAUUGCACAAUGGGCGGAAGCCUGAUGCAGCAACGCCGCGUGCGGGAUGACGGCCUUCGGGUUGUAAACCGCUUUCGCCUGUGACGAAGCGUGAGUGACGGUAAUGGGUAAAGAAGCACCGGCUAACUACGUGCCAGCAGCCGCGGUGAUACGUAGGGUGCGAGCGUUGUCCGGAUUUAUUGGGCGUAAAGGGCUCGUAGGUGGUUGAUCGCGUCGGAAGUGUAAUCUUGGGGCUUAACCCUGAGCGUGCUUUCGAUACGGGUUGACUUGAGGAAGGUAGGGGAGAAUGGAAUUCCUGGUGGAGCGGUGGAAUGCGCAGAUAUCAGGAGGAACACCAGUGGCGAAGGCGGUUCUCUGGGCCUUUCCUGACGCUGAGGAGCGAAAGCGUGGGGAGCGAACAGGCUUAGAUACCCUGAUAGUCCACGCUGUAAACGGUGGGUACUAGGUGUGGGGUCCAUUCCACGGGUUCCGUGCCGUAGCUAACGCUUUAAGUACCCCGCCUGGGGAGUACGGCCGCAAGGCUAAAACUCAAAGGAAUUGACGGGGCCCCGCACAAGCGGCGGAGCAUGCGGAUUAAUUCGAUGCAACGCGUAGAACCUUACCUGGGUUUGACAUGGAUCGGGAGUGCUCAGAGAUGGGUGUGCCUCUUUUGGGGUCGGUUCACAGGCGGUGCAUGGCUGUCGUCAGCUCGUGUCGUGAGAUGUUGGGUUAAGUCCCGCAACGAGCGCAACCCUUGUUCACUGUUGCCAGCACGUUAUGGUGGGGACUCAGUGGAGACCGCCGGGGUCAACUCGGAGGAAGGUGGGGAUGACGUCAAGUCAUCAUGCCCCUUAUGUCCAGGGCUUCACGCAUGCUACAAUGGCUGGUACAGAGAGUGGCGAGCCUGUGAGGGUGAGCGAAUCUCGGAAAGCCGGUCUCAGUUCGGAUUGGGGUCUGCAACUCGACCUCAUGAAGUCGGAGUCGCUAGUAAUCGCAGAUCAGCAACGCUGCGGUGAAUACGUUCCCGGGGCU